GAGCUUCCCAGUGGAACGGGUCACUUGAUCAGUGUUGAUGACCGUUUACCAACCCCGUGAUGUUGACGCAUUCCAGCUUUUAUUCGUGCAUGGUAAGAGCACAAACUACAGUUGACAUCCAAUUUCCACUUAGCAGCAUGAUCUGAAUACCGGGUGUGGCUUGAACAGCAACUGCAGCGAGAGAACCUAAAUGCAUCACACGGCAACACACUUUCGCCUGGUUAACGUACCAAUCGGCAAACACUUGGAGAUGGAGAAUCGACUGCAGUUGCUACUGAAAAUCAGGAUGCUUUGAAGGAUGGCCUAUUGGAAUGUUUAGGCGCGUCACAUGCUGGAGAAAUUCCGUUCAUACAAGUGGUCCUAACUUAGCUGUUUACCCA
RNAcentral lists this long non-coding RNA (380 nucleotides) under Eucalyptus grandis. RNAcentral describes it as "long non-coding RNA (EGRA_LNC003414)". The record is from RNAcentral. Lineage: Eukaryota; Viridiplantae; Streptophyta; Magnoliopsida; Myrtales; Myrtaceae.